CCGAGUAUCGGUACUCUCGGGUACCUACUCCCACCAUUUGUGAACCUUUUUCGUUGCCUCGGCGGACCGAUGGUACCCCCAUCCUUCGGCGUAAAGUUGAAGAGUGUCUGCCAGAGGAUUUUCAAACCAGUCUUAUUUUAAUAAGUCA
RNAcentral lists this unclassified non-coding RNA (148 nucleotides) under uncultured fungus. Its description in RNAcentral is "sequence contains ITS1, 5.8S rRNA gene". The record is from RNAcentral. Lineage: Eukaryota; Fungi.